RNAcentral lists this long non-coding RNA (250 nucleotides) under Sinocyclocheilus grahami. RNAcentral's name for it is "lncRNA (ENSSGRG00000029252.1)". The record is from RNAcentral. Lineage: Eukaryota; Metazoa; Chordata; Actinopteri; Cypriniformes; Cyprinidae.
UUUGAACAAGUUAAAAGUCUGUGCAUGUGUUUUGUCUGUGCAUUCAUUUCCCUGGUGGGUUUUCUAUGAAACUGCACUGCAUUCUGUUCCUCAAACGCUCCGGACACAGACAUUCUGGAUAACAACAGACAUCUGCUGGACCUAAUGCUCAUCCAAAACAGAGCGGGAAACACCAGACAGGACCUGACUUAUGGCAGCAAAGCACCAAAGCUCAAGGCAUCAGAACACAAGCACCAACAGCUGAUGUUUU